UCCUACGGGAGGCAGCAGUAGGGAAUCUUCCGCAAUGGGCGAAAGCCUGACGGAGCGACGCCGCGUGAGCGAAGAAGGCCUUCGGGUCGUAAAGCUCUGUUGUGAGGGAAGAAGGAGCGCCGUUCGAAUAGGGCGGUACGGUGACGGUACCUCACGAGAAAGCCCCGGCUAACUACGUGCCAGCAGCCGCGGUAAUAA
Molecule: ribosomal RNA, 198 nt
Filed under: uncultured Geobacillus sp.
Lineage: Bacteria; Bacillati; Bacillota; Bacilli; Caryophanales; Anoxybacillaceae
Description: partial 16S ribosomal RNA
Rfam family: Bacterial small subunit ribosomal RNA
Source: RNAcentral